Molecule: long non-coding RNA, 666 nt
Organism: Emys orbicularis (European pond turtle)
Lineage: Eukaryota; Metazoa; Chordata; Testudines; Emydidae
Exons: 3
Source: RefSeq, a predicted model, not a curated record
UAGCUGAAUUUGCGUAUCUUAAAUCGACCCCCCCCUGUAGUGUAGAUGUAGCCGAGAGGAGUACCGCAGCGUCGACGGGGGAGCCUGCCUGCCGCGUGUGGACUGAGGACAUAUUGUAUGCUGUAGUAAAUCACCCUCAUCAUUUUCCAAUUGCUCACUGCAGUUCAGACCUGAAAACUUCACCACAGGAGCAAAUUAGAAGCUGGGGAGAUAAAGCUCAUCACCAUCAAGAAUCUGUGAUCUCUCUAGUUGUUCUUCUGUGCACCUGGGAUUUUGAGCACUGAAAAGCUUCAGGGAUCAGGUCCCAGUGAAAAAUUGCUGCACGACACACAACUAUACUCCAUUGGAAUCAAUGAUGAUACAGGUUUGUUCCAGUUUUGACACAAGUACAAUAUAACAAUUCUGCCUUAGCAAUGGAGCAGAAGCAAGUCACUCCAACCCAGAGCAGCCAUUAAGGAAAAAUAUUGUGCCACUUUAUAUUGAGGAUCCUGAAAAAGCCUAAUGACCUUCAUCAGUCCCUUUGAAAUCUUCAUGCAACAGUCAGGUAAGCUAAGUAAUAUUUCCAGACAUUGUGUGUUUUUAAAUAUCCAUCUCUUUAAAAAAAAAAAAGAAAUUUACAUGGAGCUUUUAAAAAUGUAGUUGUAUGUUUAAAAAUUGUAAGAGCUC